AUGUACAAGAGAAUAGGAUUUCAUCCAUGAACUUUUAGAAAGCGUCGGGCAUUGAAUGGCUUCAGAGUACCCUACCCCUUCCAUUUACCGGGCGAUUGGUUUCCCUGUCUGUUUCACUUGAAGUCUACUAUUUUAAGCCCACACUUUUGAGAAGAAGGAAUCCCAAACACGCCCUUCGUCUCGCAGGUCAGUUUUCUGUAACCCUAAUUUUUCUAUUAAUGGUGAACGGCAUACUGCAAUGGAUUCGAAGGGUAUUCAGAUUGAAGCCAUCUCAGAUUAAACUCGCAAUAACGAGGACAGUGAUUUGUUUUCAUUUUAGGUAUGUUUUUGCAGUUUGAUGCUCUAAUUGGUAUUAUGUUAUUUCAAUUAUUCGCCCCAAUCCUCAAAAUUUCCUUUUGAAUUCGCUUGCUUUCCUCUGUUUCGGUUGAUUAAUUGAACACCCGUUUCGAUUUCACAGUGUUUGUUUCGAAUUUUGAGUUUUGCCUAUUAGGGUUUUAGCAUGAUAAUCAAGAGGAAGUUGAAAUUGGCAAUGCUAAUUUAAUCAAGUGCAGUUUUCCCGAUUGUGGUUCAAAGCAAGCUUCAUUGCGGAAGAUAAUCAACCGAUGCCGACCGUAAUCGUCGAAGAACUUCAACUAAUUUAGCAUAAAUUUUCCUUUUCCAUUACCUGUUUGACAUCAACUGUCUUCGACUGCUGAAUUUAUACGCAAAGCAAAACUGUCACAAACCAUGGUGGAAGGAAUCAAUGGAUAAGGUACUUCCCACAAGGACACAGUGAACAGUAAAAAAAAACAAGAAGGCGUACCCGUUCUUCUCAUACAGGUCAUUCACGUGAUACCGCAAAAUGGGUGGAUCCAGACAAGGCAAGCUCAUCGAGAUAGUCCUACACCAAUACUUCUAUCAGGUUAAGUUAUGCUUUCUUGUUUGAACUUGUGUUUUUUCUUCUAGCUCAAUUAAACAAAUUUGGACCCAAGUAUGCUGUUUUAAAAGUAUGCAUAGCAACUGCUCGAUAAAAUAUCUGUGUGAGAAUUGCAUAAAUACAAAAAAGUAGAAAGGUUGCAGUUCGAGAAGAAUCAAAAUUCUAAUCCAUAUACUCUUUUUUUAGCUGAAAUAAUUAAUAUGGUUUUCUUAUUUGAUUCGAUUUAUUUUAGUAUUUCUCGACAUAAUUCAACCAAGAUACGAUCAAAAUCGGCUGCAAUGGAUAGGGCCAGAAGUAGUUAGUGAAGAUUGCGAGCUCUUAUUCGCUUCUUAACGGAACUCACUAUUAUAUGUGCUGGAUAUAAGCAACUCAGUCUUCUGGCAUCAAUCAACAGAAGCAGUCACUUUAGUUGGGGCCUGAUGAUCAUCUCUAUCUGGAAGGAUUUGCAUCAAAUGUCUUUGCAAAGGCCGAUAAGCAAGACCGGCUGGAAGAGCUGACAUGUAUGAUAUGCUCUACUUCUUAUGAUAUAGUUAUUGUAACAUUGGCUUACUAAAGAUUUAGCACACUAAGAAUGAUUUAAUGUGCUUAAAAAGGCUUCCAAAUUCAUAUGCCAUGGGCUCGUACAUAUAAGAAACUCUCUCUUUUUUAGCAAUUCCUCAUGAAAAACAACCGCCGCCUCUGGUUGAAGUUUAACAUUGGAGUUCAUAAUGUUUUUUGCUAUUCAAGGGUUUAUUGAUCAAUAGCUUUUCGGAUGUAUUUUUGCUAAGAUGUUAUGGACAUAGUAGGCUAUUACCAAUGUU
This 1716-nucleotide long non-coding RNA is filed under the name Helianthus annuus (common sunflower). Lineage: Eukaryota; Viridiplantae; Streptophyta; Magnoliopsida; Asterales; Asteraceae. The record is from RNAcentral.